CCUACGGGAGGCAGCAGUAGGGAAUCUUCCACAAUGGGCGAAAGCCUGAUGGAGCAAUGCCGCGUGGGUGAAGAAGGUCUUCGGAUCGUAAAACCCUGUUGUCAGAGAAGAAAGUGCGUGAGAGUAACUGUUCACGUUUCGACGGUAUCUAACCAGAAAGCCACGGCUAACUACGUGCCAGCAGCCGCGGUAAUACGUAGGGGGCAAGCGUUAUCCGGAUUUAUUGGGCGUAAAGCGGACGCAGGCGGUCUUUUAAGUCUGAUGUGAAAGCCUUGGGCUUAACCGGAGUAGUGCAUUGGAUACUGGCAGACUUGAGUGCAGAAGAGGAGAGUGGAAUUCCAGGUGUAGCGGUGAAAUGCGUAGAGAUAUGGAAGAACACCAGUGGCGAAGGCGGCUCUCUGGUCUGAAACUGACGCUGAGGUGCGAAAGCGUGGGUAGCAAACAGGAUUAGAAACCCCAGUAGUC
RNAcentral lists this ribosomal RNA (465 nucleotides) under uncultured bacterium. RNAcentral describes it as "partial 16S ribosomal RNA". It matches the Rfam family "Bacterial small subunit ribosomal RNA", at positions 338 to 795 of the family's 1533-position model. The record is from RNAcentral.